This 253-nucleotide ribosomal RNA is filed under the name uncultured bacterium. RNAcentral describes it as "partial 16S ribosomal RNA". It matches the Rfam family "Bacterial small subunit ribosomal RNA", at positions 524 to 776 of the family's 1533-position model. The record is from RNAcentral.
UACGGAGGGUGCGAGCGUUGUCCGGAAUUAUUGGGCGUAAAGGGCGCGUAGGCGAUUCAGUAAGUCUUAUGUGAAAGCCCAGAGCUUAACUCUGGAAGUGCACGAGAUACUGCUGAAAUUGAGUUCCGGAGAGGAAGGCAGAAUUCCCGGUGUAGCGGUGAAAUGCGUAGAUAUCGGGAGGAAUACCAGUGGCGAAGGCGGCCUUCUGGACGGAUACUGACGCUGAGGCGCGAAAGCCAGGGGAGCAAACGGG